RNAcentral lists this ribosomal RNA (800 nucleotides) under Arthrobacter sp. Its description in RNAcentral is "bacterial SSU rRNA". It matches the Rfam family "Bacterial small subunit ribosomal RNA", at positions 77 to 888 of the family's 1533-position model. Lineage: Bacteria; Bacillati; Actinomycetota; Actinomycetes; Micrococcales; Micrococcaceae. The record is from RNAcentral.
AGCUUGCUGGGGGAUUAGUGGCGAACGGGUGAGUAACACGUGAGUAACCUGCCCUUAACUCUGGGAUAAGCCUGGGAAACUGGGUCUAAUACCGGAUAUGACUCCUCAUCGCAUGGUGGGGGGUGGAAAGCUUUAUUGUGGUUUUGGAUGGACUCGCGGCCUAUCAGCUUGUUGGUGAGGUAAUGGCUCACCAAGGCGACGACGGGUAGCCGGCCUGAGAGGGUGACCGGCCACACUGGGACUGAGACACGGCCCAGACUCCUACGGGAGGCAGCAGUGGGGAAUAUUGCACAAUGGGCGAAAGCCUGAUGCAGCGACGCCGCGUGAGGGAUGACGGCCUUCGGGUUGUAAACCUCUUUCAGUAGGGAAGAAGCGAAAGUGACGGUACCUGCAGAAGAAGCGCCGGCUAACUACGUGCCAGCAGCCGCGGUAAUACGUAGGGCGCAAGCGUUAUCCGGAAUUAUUGGGCGUAAAGAGCUCGUAGGCGGUUUGUCGCGUCUGCCGUGAAAGUCCGGGGCUCAACUCCGGAUCUGCGGUGGGUACGGGCAGACUAGAGUGAUGUAGGGGAGACUGGAAUUCCUGGUGUAGCGGUGAAAUGCGCAGAUAUCAGGAGGAACACCGAUGGCGAAGGCAGGUCUCUGGGCAUUAACUGACGCUGAGGAGCGAAAGCAUGGGGAGCGAACAGGAUUAGAUACCCUGGUAGUCCAUGCCGUAAACGUUGGGCACUAGGUGUGGGGGACAUUCCACGUUUUCCGCGCCGUAGCUAACGCAUUAAGUGCCCCGCCUGGGGAGUACGGCCG